This 407-nucleotide ribosomal RNA is filed under the name uncultured bacterium. RNAcentral's name for it is "partial 16S ribosomal RNA". It matches the Rfam family "Bacterial small subunit ribosomal RNA", at positions 30 to 526 of the family's 1533-position model. The record is from RNAcentral.
AUUGAACGCUAGCGGGAUGCCUUACACAUGCAAGUCGAACGGAUUGGCGAACGUGUGAGUAAUGUAUCGGAACGUGCCCAGUAGCGGGGGAUAACUACGCGAAAGCGUAGCUACUACCGCAUACUCUUGGCGCGGCCGAUAUCGGAUUAGCUAGGUGGUGGGGUAACGGCUCACCAAGGCGACGAUCCGUAGCUGGUUUGAGAGUACGAACAGCCACACGGGGACUGAGAAACGGCCCAGACUCCUACGGGAGGCAGCAGUGGGGAAUUUUGUACAAUGGGGGAAACCCUGAUGCAGCCAUCCCGCGUGUGCGAGGAAGGCCUUCGGGUUGUAAAGCACUUUUGGCAGGAAAGCGGUACCUGCAGAAGAAGCACCGGCUAACUACGUGCCAGCAGCCGCGGUAAUAC